Molecule: ribosomal RNA, 472 nt
Filed under: uncultured bacterium
Lineage: Bacteria
Description: bacterial SSU rRNA
Rfam family: Bacterial small subunit ribosomal RNA
Source: RNAcentral
AGGGUUCGAUCAUGGCUCAGAACGUACGCUGGCGGCACGCCUAACACAUGCAAGUCGAACGCAGUAGCAAUACUGAGUGGCAAACGGGUGAGUAUAAUGUGGGAAUCUGCCUUUUGGUUUGGAAUAACACGGGGAAACUUGUGCUAAUACCGAAUAAGCCUUUACAGGGAAAGUUUUAACGCCGAAAGAUGAGCCCGCACUUGAUUAGCUAGUUGGUAAGGUAAAAGCUUACCAAGGCAAUGAUCAAUAGCUGUUCUUAGAGGAAGACCAGCCACAUUGGGACUGAGACACGGCCCAGACUCCUACGGGAGGCAGCAGUGGGGAAUCUUGCACAAUGGGGGAAACCCUGAUGCAGCGAUGCCGCGUGGGUGAAGAAGGCCCUUGGGUUGUAAAACUCUUUCGUCGGGGAAGAAAAUGACUGUACCCGAAUAAGAAGGUCCGGCUAACUUCGUGCCAGCCGCCGCGGUAAUAC